This is a non-coding RNA of Aedes albopictus (Asian tiger mosquito), 76 nucleotides long. The record is from Rfam. Lineage: Eukaryota; Metazoa; Arthropoda; Insecta; Diptera; Culicidae.
UGUUCUGUGGCUUCUUAGUUGGUUAAAGUGCCGGACUAGCGAUACGGAGUCAUGGGUUCGAAUCCCACCAAAACAA